AUUUCAGGCAUUGCCUUAGUACGGCGAGUGAGCGGCAAAAGCUCAAAUUUGAAAUCUGGCACCUUCGGUGUCCGAGUUGUAAUUUGAAGAAGGUAACUUUGGAGUUGGCUCUUGUCUAUGUUCCUUGGAACAGGACGUCACAGAGGGUGAGAAUCCCGUGCGAUGAGAUGCCCAAUUCUAUGUAAAGUGCUUUCGAAGAGUCGAGUUGUUUGGGAAUGCAGCUCUAAGUGGGUGGUAAAUUCCAUCUAAAGCUAAAUAUUGGCGAGAGACCGAUAGCGAACAAGUACAGUGAUGGAAAGAUGAAAAGAACUUUGAAAAGAGAGUGAAAAAGUACGUGAAAUUGUUGAAAGGGAAGGGCUUGAGAUCAGACUUGGUAUUUUGCGAUCCUUUCCUUCUUGGUUGGGUUCCUCGCAGCUUACUGGGCCAGCAUCGGUUUGGAUGGUAGGAUAAUGACUAAGGAAUGUGGCUCUACUUCGGUGGAGUGUUAUAGCCUUGGUUGAUACUGCCUGUCUAGACCGAGGACUGCGUCUUUUGACUAGGAUGUUGGCAUAAUGAUCUUAAGCCACCCGUCUUGAAACCCGGAAACACA
This 589-nucleotide ribosomal RNA is filed under the name Debaryomyces hansenii. RNAcentral describes it as "LSU rRNA". It matches the Rfam family "Eukaryotic large subunit ribosomal RNA", at positions 64 to 664 of the family's 3401-position model. The record is from RNAcentral. Lineage: Eukaryota; Fungi; Ascomycota; Pichiomycetes; Serinales; Debaryomycetaceae.